This 690-nucleotide ribosomal RNA is filed under the name uncultured bacterium. Its description in RNAcentral is "bacterial SSU rRNA". It matches the Rfam family "Bacterial small subunit ribosomal RNA", at positions 32 to 715 of the family's 1533-position model. The record is from RNAcentral.
AACGCUAGCUACAGGCUUAACACAUGCAAGUCGAGGGGCAGCGCAGUGUAGCAAUACAUGGGCGGCGACCGGCGCACGGGUGCGUAACGCGUAUCCAACCUUCCCGUUACUCUUGGAUAGCCUUCCGAAAGGGAGAUUAAUACAAGAUGGUAUUCAAAUUUCGCAUGUUAUUUGAAUUAAAGAUUUAUCGGUAACGGAUGGGGAUGCGUGACAUUAGAUAGUAGGCGGGGUAACGGCCCACCUAGUCUACGAUGUCUAGGGGUUCUGAGAGGAAGGUCCCCCACACUGGAACUGAGACACGGUCCAGACUCCUACGGGAGGCAGCAGUGAGGAAUAUUGGUCAAUGGUCGGAAGACUGAACCAGCCAAGUAGCGUGAAGGAUGAAGGUUCUAUGGAUUGUAAACUUCUUUUAUACGGGAAUAAAACCUCCCACGUGUGGGAGCCUGUAUGUACCGUAUGAAUAAGCAUCGGCUAACUCCGUGCCAGCAGCCGCGGUAAUACGGAGGAUGCGAGCGUUAUCCGGAUUUAUUGGGUUUAAAGGGAGCGUAGACGGGGGACUAAGUCAGUUGUGAAAGGCUGCGGCUCAACCGCAGCACUGCAGUUGAUACUGGUUUCCUUGAGUGCGGUUGAGGUGUAUGGAAUUCGUGGUGUAGCGGUGAAAUGCUUAGAUAUCACGAAGAACUCCGAUUG